UACGUAGGGACCAAGCGUUGUUCGGAAUUACUGGGCGUAAAGGGCUCGUAGGCGGCCAACUAAGUCAGACGUGAAAUCCCUCGGCUUAACCGGGGAACUGCGUCUGAUACUGGAUGGCUUGAAUCCGGGAGAGGGAUGCGGAAUUCCAGGUGUAGCGGUGAAAUGCGUAGAUAUCUGGAGGAACACCGGUGGCGAAGGCGGCAUCCUGGACCGGCAUUGACGCUGAGGAGCGAAAGCCAGGGGAGCAAACGGG
RNAcentral lists this ribosomal RNA (253 nucleotides) under uncultured bacterium. Its description in RNAcentral is "partial 16S ribosomal RNA". It matches the Rfam family "Bacterial small subunit ribosomal RNA", at positions 524 to 776 of the family's 1533-position model. The record is from RNAcentral.